GACGAACGCUGGCGGCGUGCUUAACACAUGCAAGUCGAACGGAAAGGCCCUGCUUUUGUGGGGUGCUCGAGUGGCGAACGGGUGAGUAACACGUGAGUAACCUGCCCUUGACUUUGGGAUAACUUCAGGAAACUGGGGCUAAUACCGGAUAGGAGCUCCUGCUGCAUGGUGGGGGUUGGAAAGUGUCGGCGGUUGGGGAUGGACUCGAGGCUUAUCAGCUUGUUUGUGGGGUAGUGGCUUACCAAGGCUUUGACGGGUAGCCGGCCUGGGAGGGUGACCGGCCACAUUGGGACUGAGAUACGGCCCAGACUCCUACGGGAGGCAGCAGUGGGGAAUAUUGCACAAUGGGCGGAAGCCUGAUGAAGCAACGCCGCGUGCGGGAUGACGGCCUUCGGGUUGUAAACCGCUUUCGCCUGUGACGAAGCGUGAGUGACGGUAAUGGGUAAAGAAGCACCGGCUAACUACGUG
RNAcentral lists this ribosomal RNA (468 nucleotides) under uncultured bacterium. RNAcentral's name for it is "partial 16S ribosomal RNA". It matches the Rfam family "Bacterial small subunit ribosomal RNA", at positions 28 to 507 of the family's 1533-position model. The record is from RNAcentral.